GGCCCAUCUUAUCGCGCCGGCCCAGCCUUCGCCCGCCGCGCGCCGCCCAUUGAUCGCGCGGGCUGGGGCCGGGGGUCAGCGCGGACGCUCGGCCUGACAGCCACAUCCAUCGCGCUGACGGCCGCACGCGCGCCUCGCCCGGCCAUUAAUCACCGUGCGGCGCAGACUGACGGGGAGGGCGACAGGGCCAGCGGGCGCCUGCCAGCCCUGCCAGCCCGCAUUUCCCACUGCCGGGCCCUGCCGCAGGUCAUCCGCAUCAUCCCCAGGUCACUUGCAACCUGGGAUGGGAGAACAGUGUGUAUCUCUCAGGGUCCCAAAGGAGAGCUGACUUGUCUGGCAGGCUGAGACUAGGCCAUACCGUAGCUCCUUUCUAGAAGCUGGCGGGGCCAUUUCUGGAAACCAGGGAACAACCAGGAAUACACCCAAACACAGAGGGCUGGACCUAAGCUUGCGCCUGUUUCAAACUGUGACCUCCGCUAGCAACAAGAGCCAAGAACUAGGCGUUCUUCUCUGAACCCUGGUCACAUAGUGCCUGUGGCCUCAGAGUCUCACACCGGCUUGGCAGGGCCUUUUCAGACGCGGCCAGCUGUUCAACCAGGGCUGACUCAGGGUCAGAGAGGUAGAAGUCUGCAGGGUGUAACUCCCACCCUCUGCCUGCAACUCCAUUUUCUUAGCUAAGGCUUGUUGACCCAUCACUUUUUGGUGUGAGAAAGCAAGUUCUGUUCUUUCUUAAAACCCAGAUAUUCUCUGAAUCAACCUAGGGUUGAAGGCAACCUGAAGAGGUGAGGUGUCUGCAAAGCUGAGGACAAGGAUUCGCCUGGAGGCCACUUGGGAACCUGCACUGCAAUUGGAAUGAGGGGCAGAAGCUUCUACUCUGCCACCAAGCAGCUCAAGGGGCGGCUUCCAAGAGCCUGGUCCAGAGCUGGGGUAGUGGCCACCUCCUGUGACCAGCCCCCAUCCUGCCCGACUUUAAUAUUACAACAAUUUUUCAAGCUGGAGCUGAACUAGUGGGAAAAAUGGGGCUGCUGUAAUUGUUGUUAGAUUGUGUGUCAGCCUGAUAAGAUGUAACAAAUACUUUCUCCCCACCAGGGUCUGCUGCCCGCCUGGGAAUGGAUGGAGAAACUUCUCACGGUCUGCGAGGGAUGGGCCAUAAAAACUUCGCCUGUAAGAUUAAUGUAAUAAUCACAGGCCUUGCUGGAGAAAAGAGAGGAAAAUUAAAAUAACCAAACCUUGCCACCUAGCCAGACCAUCUCCCUAUCAGAGAAUGCCCCCCCCCCCCCAGGCACUGUCACAGCCCAGAUGAGGGAAAAGUAGCAGGACCCAGGGGCUAUGACCAGGAAAAACAAGUCCUCACUGAAAGCUCUGGGGAGCAGGUGCCGAGGGCUGUACAAGAAUAACCCCGAACCCACCACUACUGCCAGUGUUUCUAUCCUGAUCAGGUGCUGUGAAGGUUUCAACUCAGCCGUCACCUGCCUCAGUCUACCCUGCAGCCCCACCUGCUCAAGGUCAGCUCCUCAACUACUGCUGGGUAUGGAAGUCCAGACAUACAGUUCCCAGCGCAGGCUCUAGCAAAGCUGAACUCAAAUCUAACUUCUACCUCCUGCUGGCUGGGCAGGCAAUUUGGCCUCAUGAGGACAAGAUGAUGUCACAUCGAGAAUGGUGACACUUACAUUUCAGUACUCAGAAAGCAGAGGCAGGAGGAUUGCCUCAAACUCAAAACCAGCCUGGUUUACAUUGCAAGACUAUGUCAAGACACAUCGUACCCAGUGUGCAGACUACCUCCCAUGAGUCUACACUGAUGGUUACUAAGCAGGAACAAGAGCAACAUACUCAAGGGUCACAGGCGGGCUCCGCGUCUGAAGAACUCCCUCCUGUCUUCUCCAGUCACCACCUCUGAGCCCUGACAGAGCAGCCUGAGAACACAGCACAUGCACUGACCCCCGGGCUGCUGCCACCAGAUACCUGGAAUACACCCAGGCUCAUCAAGAGUAGAUGGACCAGACCCACAGGGAGCAGAGGUUCUAACCCAUCCGAGAAUGUCCACUCAGAAUGACCCAUCUUUCAGAGUCACAAGGACACAGUGACUUUCUCAGACUGCCAAGCCCUUGUCAACAGCCAGGAGAGGAAGCCUGCCAACCUGCCAGGCCUGUGCCAGCUGCCUGAUGGGACAGACACAUGCUGGGCAGACACUUGUGCCCUACAGGCUAGCCCAGCUGCAGCCAUGGGAGCUUAGUAGCUGUGGGCCUUGCAUCAGGCCACCCUAACACAGGUGGCCAUCAGGCUCCCUAACAUCUUGAGCCUAUCACAACUGCAAAAGAUACCACAGAUGAUUAAAAUAAGAAAGAAUAAGGCAUGCGACUUUAAUUGUUAAUAUCAAAACAUGUCAUUUUAGGGCUGGCAACACAGAUCAGCAGGCAAAGGUUCUUGCUUACCAAGCCCAGUAGUCUGAGUUUAGUUCCCAGAACCUACAUGGUGCAGAGAGAACCUCCACAAGUGUGAGGUGCUAAGGGAGUGUGAGAAUGUGCACACAGACACACAAAAAAGAAAGGAAGAAGAAAAAGGGAUGGGAGCAAGAAAGAAAAAAACAUUCAAACAUCUAUUUUGAAAUCUUUCCUAUGUAGUUUAAUAUAAGUAUAUAUUUAUUUUAAAAGUAAAUAGAAGUAAGAUGUACAGCACACAGGAUAAACUUGAAACCUACUAAGGAAAACAAGCCAGACACCAAAGGACAACGGGUGACAGACUGCACGCCAGGAAACUAAGUGGCCACGUCCACAGAAGGAAGUCAGAGGCUACUGCGGUCGUCUACUGCGGUCUACUGCAGUCUGAACAGGAAGAUGGGACUGGAUGCGUAAAGGCUACAAGGGUCCUGCUUUUUGGGUGAGGAAAAGGUUCUGGUGGAAACAAGAUGGUGGACAGUUGAGUGGUUAAGGACACUGGUUGCUUUUAAAGAGGACCUGUUGUUUGGUUCCCAGCACCCA
Long non-coding RNA from Onychomys torridus (southern grasshopper mouse), 2978 nucleotides. RefSeq lists it as uncharacterized. The transcript is spliced from 4 exons. The record is from RefSeq and is a predicted model, not a curated record. Lineage: Eukaryota; Metazoa; Chordata; Mammalia; Rodentia; Cricetidae.